GAGUUACAUGCCCUGCAGUGGGGAAUAGCCCGCCGAAAGGCGGAUUAAUACUCCAUGGUCCCGCAAGGGUAAAGGUGGCGCAAGCUGCCGCUGCAGGAUUGGCUCGCGGCCUAUCAGCUAGUUGGUGAGGUAACGGCUCACCAAGGCUACGACGGGUACCUGGUCUGAGAGGAUGAUCAGGCACACUGGAACUGAGACACGGUCCAGACACCUACGGGUGGCAGCAGUCGAGAAUAAUUCACAAUGGGGGAAACCCUGAUGGUGCAACGCCGCGUGGAGGAUGAAGGUCUUCGGAUUGUAAACUCCUGUCAUCUGGGAGUAAGACCUGGCGGUGAAUAGCCGACAGGGUUGAUAGUACCAGAAGAGGAAGGGACGGCUAACUUCGUGCCAGCAGCCGCGGUAAUACGAAGGUCCCAAGCGUUGUUCGGAAUCACUGGGCGUAAAGGGAGCGUAGGCGGCGUGGUAAGUCAGAUGUGAAAUCCCGGGGCUCAACCCCGGAACUGCAUCCGAUACUGCCAUGCUUGAGGGUUGGAGAGGUAGCUGGAAUUCUCGGU
This 554-nucleotide ribosomal RNA is filed under the name uncultured bacterium. RNAcentral describes it as "bacterial SSU rRNA". It matches the Rfam family "Bacterial small subunit ribosomal RNA", at positions 119 to 674 of the family's 1533-position model. The record is from RNAcentral.